GGAGAGGAAGAUCAGCCACACUGGGAUUGAGAACGGCCCAGACUCCUACGGGGGGCAGCAGUGAGGAAUUUUCCGCAAUGGAGGAAACUCUGACGGAGCAACGCCGCGUGCAGGAGGACGCUUUUCGGAGUGUAAACUGCUUUUCUGUGGGAAGAGGAAGGACGGUACCACAGGAAGAAGCCCCGGCUAACUACGUGCCAGCAGCCGCGGUAAUACGUAGGGGGCGAGCGUUGUCCGGAGUUACUGGGCGUAAAGGGCAUGCAGGCGGUCGGACGCGUUUUGUGUGACAGCGGGUGGCUUAACUACCCGAGUAUGCGAAAGACGGUUUGACUUGAGGGCUCGAGAGGGACACGGAAUUCCGGGUGGAGUGGUGAAAUGCGUAGAGAUCCGGAGGAACACCGAAGGCGAAGGCAGUGUCCUGGCGAGUGACUGACGCUGAGGUGCGAAAGCUAGGGGAGCGAACGGGAUUAGAUACCCCGGUAGUCCUAGCCGUAAACGAUGACCACCAGGUGUGGGAGGUAUCGACCCCUUCCGUGCCGGAGUAAACACACUAAGUGGUCCGCCUGGGGAGUACGGUCGCAAGAUUAAAACUCAAAGGAAUUGACG
This 606-nucleotide ribosomal RNA is filed under the name uncultured bacterium. RNAcentral describes it as "SSU rRNA". It matches the Rfam family "Bacterial small subunit ribosomal RNA", at positions 293 to 915 of the family's 1533-position model. The record is from RNAcentral.